Molecule: long non-coding RNA, 3158 nt
Organism: Cinclus cinclus
Lineage: Eukaryota; Metazoa; Chordata; Aves; Passeriformes; Cinclidae
Exons: 3
Source: RefSeq, a predicted model, not a curated record
CAGCGGCAGGAGCGCGGGUCGGCGCGGAGCUGCCGCCGCGUCCCCGGCCGGCACCGCCGUGCAUGGGGAGGGAGCGGGCGGGACGCUGCCUGCGCGCCGCGCCGCACGGCUCGGCACGGCACGGCUCGGCACGGCUCGGCACGGCCGCCGCGUCUAAUUAGAACCUGAUUGUGGCGUUGUCUUCAAAUUUUUCACUUCUGCAGUCAGUGACAGGGUCUGUGGCAGUAAUUUGAGGAUUCAGUAGGAACACAGUAGCCACUACUGUCUUCUGCUUGAGAAUGCAUCCAGAGUCUUACGUGACUGUGGAAUCUAGACCUUGGAAUUAAACAAUUUCAGUAUUAUGGUAUGAAAUAACAGGGAUUUUAAAGCAAUGGUGUACUUUCCAGAGAAGCCUAAUUUUGACCUGUUUACAGAUUUUCAAUUUUUGUAAGUGCCAACAACAGCAACAUGGGGAAGGAGUAUUUGCUGCUGGGAGGGGAAAUUGUAAUGAGCAAGAAGUACAUGGAAUGCAGAAAAUGGUCCAACAUCCUUGUUGGUUGAAUCAGACUGACUGGAACUGCAGAAUGGAAAAUGAAAGAAGGCUGCUACUGCUUUUUACUUGUAGCUGUUCAAAAUUAUGUUAGGCUAAUAAAAAGUUGAAAUCACUGUAGAAUAACCACUUCCAAAUUACGUGGUAGUAAUGUUAUGCAUGACCACAGAGUAGUACUAAAGUGAAUGUUACUGCUGUCUUGUACUAGCAGUGGCAUCAUCUUCCUGAAGUUAGGAGAAAAGUGGUUGCUGAAUGAGGUUGUUGCUUUGCCAUUGGUCUCUUUUUAUCUCAGCUUUGGGGCAUUUUUGCAGUAUGACCUUAUGUAAACAAAAAGCUAAAUGAUGAUGUUUGCAGUUACAAGAAUGAACUGAGAUCUCAUCUGAAAGAGCCUUAAAAGGGAAAUAAACAAAAUUCAGAGAUGUAGUAGUAUUAAACAGACACCAUGAUUAAAUGGUGUUCAUUAUGAAUAGGAGAGUAUCAAAAGUUACGAAGCUUGCAAUUAAAAAGCAGUUAACUUUUAACUAAUUAAACUUAACUUUUUUUAACUAAUUCAAAAGCAGAACUUACCAUGCAAUAAUAAAAACAUAAAAACAACUGGAAGAAGGCAACCAAAAUCUGGUGGCUCUUUUUCGAAAUGUAAGGGGAACUUUUUAGUAGGAGGUUGAACUAGAUGACCUCCUGCCUUUCAACACAAAUUAGCCUAUCCUAGUGCUCCUGUUCUGUUACAGGCUAGUGUUUUUCUUGUAACACACCUGCUACUUUUUACCUAGGCUUGUGUGCAAAUGUUAUCACUGUGAUUGGGCAAGUAGACAAUUACAUUAUUUAAUUUGACUUAAUGGAGCUGCUGUUUAAAAGCCUCUGACACUGGCCCUGUGGUGAUUUUAAUGAGUUCUUUACAUAUUCCUAUGUCCCAUGGGGUUCUCAGCAUAAGCCCAGUGAGAUGACUAAUAUGAGAAAUAGUAACAUGGUUUGAGUCAACAUUUGAGCUCAUGCUUAGGUUUGUAUUUCUUUAAAUUGUUUUGGUUGCAAUUUCUUUAUCAAAAAGUUAAUGAGGAGCUUUCUUGAAUUUCUGUAUAUCAGAUUUUCAAAAUUAUUCCAUAAGAUAGAUCUGUCUUUAUGCAGAUGUGAAAAACAUUACAAAAAUGUGAAUAUACAAAGAAGCUUCUUUGUAAAAGUUGUGCUGGAGGAACUGUAAUCCUGCAUACAAAUAGAUGCUUUCUGCUGCAUUCUGUGCUUAUCUAGAGAGUAGAUUGUAUGUCUCACUUAAAUUGGUUGUGUGUGUCUCAUCAGAGUGACAGCUACAAGGUACAAGUGUAAGGUAGGUUGUUACUGUCAGUUGCAACCUGUAAGAUUCUCAAAGAAAAAGGGUGAUGCCUCUCUCAAAACACCAACCUCUGUGGGUUAUGCAGUACUGGAUACAGAGAGGUCUCAUUCACAUGGGCAAUGAUAACCUCCAUGUAUUAUGUAGAAUGACUUGCCUGGAGGGUAAUUGUCCAUCUAAUUUUGAUUAUGUAGUUACUGUUUCACACAGUCAAAGCUGAAUCUUUAAAUCUGAUUUGUAGGGGAAAAAAAAAAAGUCCAAUCUGGUGCAGGCAACUAUUGAUUUAAAAUCAAUAGAAAUAUUGUCUUUCUCUGAGGUGAGUUGUCUCUGCAUCUAUCUUUGACAAUGACUUCCACAACAGUAUUACAAAGUUUCUUUUGUUGUUAGUAGAUUGCUUUUUAAUCAUGGUUGCACAUUUCCUUUUAUAAGGAAGGAAGGUGUUAAGUCUCGGUGCUUUGAUUUUCUGUCUUCUUGGUUUUCUUAUGGUUUUGUGUGGUGUUUUUUUUGCAGGGGUGGGGGAGAGGUUGUAUAUGUGUGUAUUUUAUUUUUUUCUUAGAGUCUUUAGUGUUUGUUAGUAGCUCAUACAAAUCUAUUAACUGAUUCUGUUUUUCUGUGGUUUUUGUGUCACAAAAUGAAUUCACAAAGUGAAUUAAGAAUCAUUUCAAUACCUUUCCUCUUUUCAUCAGAACAUUUUUUCUUAGGUUGCAUGUGCCUGUAUUAAGCAGAGACUCUGUUGAGCUGCACAUCCUGCGUGUGGUUGUUUUGUUUAUCUACUCAACAUUUGGCUUAAAAUGUAAUGUCAUGUGGGAAUAACUGCAAGUUAUUCUUUUAAGGGCUUACUAUUUUAUGUUUGAUGGCACCAGAUGUUAUCUGUCUUCUGUUUUGCUUUUUGUUUUGUUUUGUUUUGUUUUGUUUGGCUAGCUCUCAGUUUUGAUCCUGCUCAAGUCUCACGUAAGCUGGUUAUCACCAAAGUUGUUUUCAGGCUAGGACUUCAGAAGUGCUUAUAUGCUUGCAUAAAUGUGUAUGGUGUGGUAUUUCUUGCUCUGCAUGCAGCCCCGUGUGGGAUCUUUUCUGAUAUUUACCCUAGUUCUUGAUCUAUGUGUUGUUCAGAGUGUAAGGUUUUUUUUAUCGACAGUUCAGUGGAGCUGAUUUAGCUGGUAUUACCUUUACCAUUCUGCUUAUGUGCUUGAGCAGCUGCAGUAGAUUUUGGGACUUAAGAAAGUGUUUUACAGAUGUUUUAAGUAGAUGGAUUUUUUAUACAUCUUCAAAGUGUUGUGAUUGAAGUUAUUAAAAAUCUAAAAAUGCUUC